RNAcentral lists this long non-coding RNA (2352 nucleotides) under Marmota monax (woodchuck). Lineage: Eukaryota; Metazoa; Chordata; Mammalia; Rodentia; Sciuridae. The record is from RNAcentral.
AUUAUCUUAGUUUGAUUUAAAUGUGAAAUUGUCUUAAGAAAUGCUUUCACAGGUUUCAUGAGCUGUUAUGGCCUGGAUUGUCUUGAAUUUCUGAUCCCCCUUUAACCUGUCUGGGUAGCUAAACCCCAAGCCCAAGACUACCCUGAAACAAUUAGGCCAUCUACCCCCAGUUGCUUGACUCACACAGGGCCUGAAGGCAGCUGCCCAGAGAAGUCAGAAGCUGACUUUCAGACUGCAAGGACCUGGCCUGCCCCCAGCCCUCUGCCAUCAGAAUAAAGAUGACUGACUGUUCUUCGCCUCCUGUUCUUUGGUCAGAACCUCUCCUUCCUUCACACCAGCCUCAAUAGGAACAAGAGGCAACAUUAAAAUUCACUGAUGGUUGAUUCAGUGGCGGAUGCAUUUGAGUCUGUAUAAAUGAUUAAUGCAUUUAAAGAAGGAUGAUGAUUUCUCUUACCUUUUUCAGGACCUUAAGUCUGACCUUCAUUAGAUAAAUACAGAGGAUGCACAAGGCAAGGAGAAAACGGGAAGUCAGGAGCACAGUGCUGAGCAAGUUUAUAAGUCCCUUUCUGACACAUGGCUCAGGGCUUGAACUCAACCUCAGAAGGGGCAGAGUUUGAGGGACAUGGAAAGAGUCCUGACUGAGGAGUCCAGCUGCUGCAGACCCAACCCAGGUUAAGAGGCUGGAAGGCACGUUAGUAAGAACAAGUGGGGAGAAGUAAUUUCUCCCAAAAGCAUCUUAGUUCCCUGUUACCUGGCGCCCAGCAACUCUCCAAGGUAGCCUUUCAGACACAUACCUCCAAAGGGUCCUGCCUGGUGACCUGGCCCUCUUUCUCCUACCCAUCCACUCUGCCCCCUGGAGCCCUGCAAAGUUCUGACCCUUCUCUCUGGUCCUUCCACAACUAGUUAACAAGAGGAUGGAGCCACAAAAGACAUUACAAUGUAGAGUUUCCAAAGGAAAAGAUGGGAAUGGAAAUGACUGAAGAAAUGCUCUACAACACUCUUGGUGACCUACUGAUCCACUUGAGGACAUCUUUGACAGCUUCAGUGAUGAAGAAGAAAGCCAGGAUGUUGUGAAUCAACUUCUUGAGAAAUCAGAAUUGAAAUUUCUGGAAAGAUGGGAAUAACGUGGGUUGCUCUAAGUUUAUCAUCUGCCUCUAUUUCAAAGGCUACAAUCUCCAAUGAGGAGACUGACCGGCAACUCAAAGCCUUAGGAAUAAUGGAUUUUGCUCACUUAUAAUUAUUUCGUAUAAAGCAAACUCAGUCCAGAUUGCUCUUAUGAAUCACAUUUAUUUUGAAAAAAUGAAAACCAGGAGUAAACAGUUGUUUCCAUUUUUAGGUAUUUUUAGUCUUUUACCAAAGAAUAAUAAUGAUGAAAAGAUGGGAAUAGUUUGAAUUUUAAUUAGAACUAUUCAGGAGUGAUGAUAUGUAAAAAGUUGAUUUCUGCUUGGCAUAGAGAUAUUAUAUUUAUCACUUAGUUUAUGUUGUAAAUCUGUUUAUACCAAAUACAAAAUUCUUGUCAAAUACCAUGAGGUACAAACUUAAAGAGAUUUGUAAAAACGUUGAAAUAUUUUUAUACAGAAUAUUAAUUCUGUAUCUGUUGAUUGUCCUUUGUAAAUGACUAUGUGUUAUGACCAGAGGUGGCUCAGCUGCCAAAAAAAAAUCUUUUUUUGCAUUGAAUUACUUAUUUAGAUACUUAAGCUGUUUUUGUAAGUUUGUGAACACUGACAAAUUAUUUCUCUCACAGAACUAUUGAUAGACCCAACCUGAUCUUUUCUUAAAAUUGGGCAUCUCGCCACAAAACCAUGAAAAGAUAAUUUCGGCUUUACUAUAAAUUAUUGCAAAUUCUGAACCUGCUUGGAAUGCCUGCCCGUGCCUUGAACUCACCCAUGCCUGGCUCUCUGACCAGAUAGCAGCCCUCUCUGAAACUUAGUGACACCUCAUAAAUAUUGGCCUUCCCUGGCCAGACAACGACCCUCUCUGAGGCUCUAAUGGUCCUCAUAAAUUCUGAUGUUGGGGCCAGCAAAAAAAAAAAAUGUAAACUACCAUUAGUGUGACGCUUGUCAGAGUUCUGUUAUCUGUAACCCCCCUUUUGUGUAACUUUCUGGGCUAUAAAGCUGGGCUGUAGGAAAGGUGGGGGGCUGUCUUGUUCCCUCCGUUUUGGGAGGGAGAGGCAGCCCGGCCGGUCGAAAUAAUAAGCUUGCUUUAAUUUGAUUUUAAUUGGAGUCAGUGGUCUUUUCUUGCGUCCUGGUCUAACACUAUAACCACACAAUCUCAGACAGUAUAAAUAUAUGGCUGGACUAAUAUUAAUACACAUUACCACCAGACAUGAUGGCACAGACCUGUAAUCCCAGU